RNAcentral lists this ribosomal RNA (428 nucleotides) under Pseudomonadota bacterium. RNAcentral's name for it is "Proteobacteria bacterium partial 16S ribosomal RNA". It matches the Rfam family "Bacterial small subunit ribosomal RNA", at positions 355 to 776 of the family's 1533-position model. The record is from RNAcentral. Lineage: Bacteria; Pseudomonadati; Pseudomonadota.
UGGGGAAUAUUGGACAAUGGGCGAAAGCCUGAUCCAGCCAUGCCGCGUGUGUGAAGAAGGUCUUCGGAUUGUAAAGCACUUUAAGUUGGGAGGAAGGGCAGUAAGCGAAUACCUUGCUGUUUUGACGUUACCGACAGAAUAAGCACCGGCUAACUCUGUGCCAGCAGCCGCGGUAUACAGAGGGUGCAAGCGUUAAUCGGAAUUACUGGGCGUAAAGCGCGCGUAGGUGGUUCGUUAAGUUGAAUGUGAAAGCCCCGGGCUCAACCUGGGAACUGUAUCCAAAACUGGCGAGCUAGAGUAGGGCAGAGGGUGGUGGAAUUUCCUGUGUAGCGGUGAAAUGCGUAGAUAUAGGAAGGAACACCAGUGGCGAAGGCGACCACCUGGGCUCAUACUGACACUGAGGUGCGAAAGCGUGGGGAGCAAACAGG